GACAGGGGGUGCAAACGUUGUUCGGAAUUACUGGGCGUAAAGCGCGUGUAGGCUGCUCGGAAAGUCGGAUGUGAAAGCCCUGGGCUCAACCUAGGAAGUGCAUUCGAAACUUCCGAGCUGGAGUGCUGGAGAGGAAGGCGGAAUUCUCGGUGUAGAGGUGAAAUUCGUAGAUAUCGAGAGGAACACCGGUGGCGAAGGCGGCCUUCUGGACAGUAACUGACGCUGAGACGCGAAAGCGUGGGGAGCAAACAGG
Molecule: ribosomal RNA, 253 nt
Filed under: uncultured bacterium
Lineage: Bacteria
Description: partial 16S ribosomal RNA
Rfam family: Bacterial small subunit ribosomal RNA
Source: RNAcentral